RNAcentral lists this ribosomal RNA (26 nucleotides) under Opuntia robusta (nopal tapon). RNAcentral's name for it is "26S ribosomal RNA". The record is from RNAcentral. Lineage: Eukaryota; Viridiplantae; Streptophyta; Magnoliopsida; Caryophyllales; Cactaceae.
CCGUGCACCCCAGGUCAGGCGGGGCA